GACGAACGCUGGCGGCGUGCUUAACACAUGCAAGUCGAACGGAAAGGCCCUGCUUUUGUGGGGUGCUCGAGUGGCGAACGGGUGAGUAACACGUGAGUAACCUGCCCUUGACUUUGGGAUAACUUCAGGAAACUGGGGCUAAUACCGGAUAGGAGCUCCUGCUGCAUGGUGGGGGUUGGAAAGUUUCGGCGGUUGGGGAUGGACUCGCGGCUUAUCAGCUUGUUGGUGGGGUAGUGGCUUACCAAGGCUUUGACGGGUAGCCGGCCUGAGAGGGUGACCGGCCACAUUGGGACUGAGAUACGGCCCAGACUCCUACGGGAGGCAGCAGUGGGGAAUAUUGCACAAUGGGCGGAAGCCUGAUGCAGCGACGCCGCGUGCGGGAUGACGGCCUUCGGGUUGUAAACCGCUUUCGCCUGUGACGAAGCGUGAGUGACGGUAAUGGGUAAAGAAGCACCGGCUAACUACGUGCCAGCAGCCGCGGUGAUACGUAGGGUGCGAGCGUUGUCCGGAUUUAUUGGGCGUAAAGGGCUCGUAGGUGGUUGAUCGCGUCGGAAGUGUAAUCUUGGGGCUUAACCCUGAGCGUGCUUUCGAUACGGGUUGACUUGAGGAAGGUAGGGGAGAAUGGAAUUCCUGGUGGAGCGGUGGAGUGCGCAGAUAUCAGGAGGAACACCAGUGGCGAAGGCGGUUCUCUGGGCCUUUCCUGACGCUGAGGAGCGAAAGCGUGGGGAGCGAACAGGCUUAGAUACCCUGGUAGUCCACGCUGUAAACGGUGGGUACUAGGUGUGGGGUCCAUUCCACGGGUUCCGUGCCGUAGCUAACGCUUUAAGUACCCCGCCUGGGGAGUACGGCCGCAAGGCUAAAACUCAAAGGAAUUGACGGGGCCCCGCACAAGCGGCGGAGCAUGCGGAUUAAUUCGAUGCAACGCGUAGAACCUUACCUGGGUUUGACAUGGAUCGGGAGUGCUCAGAGAUGGGUGUGCCUCUUUUGGGGUCGGUUCACAGGUGGUGCAUGGCUGUCGUCAGCUCGUGUCGUGAGAUGUUGGGUUAAGUCCCGCAACGAGCGCAACCCUUGUUCACUGUUGCCAGCACGUUAUGGUGGGGACUCAGUGGAGACCGCCGGGGUCAACUCGGAGGAAGGUGGGGAUGACGUCAAGUCAUCAUGCCCCUUAUGUCCAGGGCUUCACGCAUGCUACAAUGGCUGGUACAGAGAGUGGCGAGCCUGUGAGGGUGAGCGAAUCUCGGAAAGCCGGUCUCAGUUCGGAUUGGGGUCUGCAACUCGACCUCAUGAAGUCGGAGUCGCUAGUAAUCGCAGAUCAGCAACGCUGCGGUGAAUACGUUCCCGGGGCU
This 1346-nucleotide ribosomal RNA is filed under the name uncultured bacterium. RNAcentral describes it as "partial 16S ribosomal RNA". It matches the Rfam family "Bacterial small subunit ribosomal RNA", at positions 28 to 1381 of the family's 1533-position model. The record is from RNAcentral.